This 497-nucleotide ribosomal RNA is filed under the name uncultured bacterium. RNAcentral describes it as "partial 16S ribosomal RNA". It matches the Rfam family "Bacterial small subunit ribosomal RNA", at positions 28 to 507 of the family's 1533-position model. The record is from RNAcentral.
GAUGAACGCUGGCGGCGUGCCUAAUACAUGCAAGUCGAGCGAACAGAUGAGGAGCUGGCUCCUCUGACGUUAGCGGCGGACGGGUGAGUAACACGUGGAUAACCUACCUAUAAGACUGGGAUAACUUCGGGAAACCGGAGCUAAUACCGGAUAAUAUAUUGAACCGCAUGGUUCAAUAGUGAAAGACGGUUUUGCUGUCACUUAUAGAUGGAUCCGCGCCGCAUUAGCUAGUUGGUAAGGUAACGGCUUACCAAGGCAACGAUGCGUAGCCGACCUGAGAGGGUGAUCGGCCACACUGGAACUGAGACACGGUCCAGACUCCUACGGGAGGCAGCAGUAGGGAAUCUUCCGCAAUGGGCGAAAGCUUGACGGAGCAACGCCGCGUGAGUGAUGAAGGUCUUCGGAUCGUAAAACUCUGUUAUUAGGGAAGAACAAAUGUGUAAGUAACUAUGCACGUCUUGACGGUACCUAAUCAGAAAGCCACGGCUAACUACGUG